Molecule: long non-coding RNA, 255 nt
Filed under: Setaria viridis
Lineage: Eukaryota; Viridiplantae; Streptophyta; Magnoliopsida; Poales; Poaceae
Description: long non-coding RNA (SVIR_LNC009521)
Source: RNAcentral
UUGAUUGGUGAAACCAUCAUCUUGGUCAUCGAAAUAAUCAUUAUAGCUGAAGUGAAACUUUGGUAUUGUAGUCGUAUUUAUCUUUUUGAGUAUAGCAAGGUGCUUUAACCUAUAAUCAUACAAACGAUGUAGUAGCCUUGCCAAAGAAAAACAGUAACAUUUGGAGUCAAUUAUAGCUUUCACCUUGUAUAAAUCUUCAAGAUUAAGAAUAUUUGUUGAAGUCCUUGAGAUGGUCUCAUCACGACUCAAGGCAAG